AAAAAAAAACCAAAGCCUAUCGAUCCCCUCGAAGACACAGCGCUGCCCUCGUGCGAUCUCAGAGGUCACAGGCGCCGCCUCCCCUCUAUCGCCAACUCCGACGUACGAUCUUGCCACCGCCGACCUCCUAGAGAAGACGUCGCCCGCGGACGUCCGGGAUCGCCACCGCGGACUUAAGGGAUCAACGUCGUCGACCUCCCAGAGGAGACGCCGCCGCCGCCGACCUCUGAGGGGAGACGCCGCCGCCACCGCCGCUAAACCCUAGGCAUCCACCACCGUGCUCCCGCCGUCGGGUUCCGCCUGCGUUCGCUACCAUGCGAUCGCCUUCCUCCCUCAGCUCCUUUUCUCUACGCUCUGUCAGGCUGCAACAGCCUAACUUUCUAUUUUCUAUCUGGGCUCCACUUUCAGUAGUAGGAUGCUCAAUUGCAACCCAAGGUGUAUAUGCCCCUACUUCCCCAAGAUGUGUGCUGCUGUGAGGCAUGUAGCACCACUUCUCCUGACUGCUAUAAUCAGUGGAAGAUCUCAUGACAUGAUAGGCGUCAUGGUCUCAUGGAAUGGACAUCAUGGGGCUUAUUAGGAACUCUGAGUUCAGCGGGCACCAUGCCGAAAGGUGAAGCAACUUUUGGUAUUUUGUUAUAGCACGAUUUGUUCUUCUAUUUCCUAAACUUGAUCGCUCACUUGCUUUCUUUCACAUGGUAAAGAGGUCAAUCUCUUCCAAUACACAAUCGCUGAGGUAUAUAUCAAUGUCUAAAGGUUAAAAAAGACCCAGGUUAUACCAUAUGGUUUAGGUUGCUCACCUUGGUGGCUGACUAGGCGUUCAAAAAUCUUAGUGAGAGUAUAAAGGACAUUGUUGAUGGUGCAAUAAUGGAACACAAAAAGUUGUGUGUGUGUGUGUGUGUGUCGCACGACCUGGGAGUCUACAUCUAAGAGUUCCUUUCAGUUUUCUAUCAGAAACAUUUCUUUAUAAAAGUUCUGUUGGACACUUAUCUUCUCUUUACUUAUCGUUUUGUGGGACUACGAAAAAGUUCAUCUGUGUGUAACUACAGGGUUCUCGAAGUCCGCCCUCUCAUUGACAGGGUGAAAGUUGUGGAAUUUUUGCUUUAACUGCCCGGAGUAAGAUGACAGGACAUACAAAGAUGCAUUCAAGGUAAGCUCCAGUGAGAUUAGGUGUUCAUAAGACAAUUCUUUCAAGUUGCAACCUACAUUGUGCUGUCUCCGUUCAUCAAGUUAUGAGCACCAGCUCUAGUGAAAUUAGAUGUUCAUCCAGCCAUACUCCUAGGUGGAUUUCUUUGGUGUGCUUAUUAUUGUGUAGUUAGUGGUUAUGCACAUGCCUCAUCAUCUGAUAUUUCUGCAGUAGUUACUGAAAGCAAUCUGAGGACAAAGCUUUGAUUGUUGUUGUAGUUGAAGAUUCAGAGUUGCAAGGCAGGCACAGUUAACAGGGAUAAGAAACUAUCGAAGAUUUAUCAAACCAGAUAUAUGGGCUUGGUUAUGCACUGAAUCAUUGUGGAGGACCUCGGGUAAUUAGGCCAUACAAGAAAAUUAAAUUUUACUUGCUUUUAAAUGUUUAGGGGGUAGAUGAUGUUUCAUAUGCUAGAUUGAAGUACGCACCUUUUAAGAGUAUCACGGAUACUCCAGUCACCCAUAAAAAUGGAAGUACUGAAAAUUAGUUUGCAAGGAAAAUAACUAAAUAGUGAGUCCGAGCAAACCUACUGCCUAGAUUACAUGAGAUCAUUUUAGCUCUAAGAGUUUCUUUUAUCUUUUUUUACAUUCUGGUAAACAUGUGGGUGAAUAACUGUUAGAAAUUGUUCUGUAUGUACACGUGCAUUCUACUAGAACUGAUGCUGGAAAGAAUAAAAAGUUCUAUAAUAUUUGUAAGCCAAGCUGUGGAAAAGCUCACUCCUCACAGUAGAUUACCAUCGUCUACGUAUCUGCUUUGUCGAAACAGAGUCCACAGGUUUACUCAUGUCAUCUGUUUUUUGUUGUUUGAGGGAAGGUUUGUUAGGAGCCCAUCUCUUCUGCAGCAAGCCCUGCAGAAAGAGAGCUAGAUAUAAUGGUACUUGCUAGCCUUUUAAUGGACACUUCCUUUUGGCCUUUUUUAGUUUCUCUAAUUAGGUAAGAUACUUCAAUGAGUGAGAAUUUUUUGUUCCCUCCCUUUUUCAUUGUCUUUUGAGUUUUGCUUUUUGGUGAGAGGAGGAUAGAGAUACACAAUUGCCGUGGGGAUCAGAGAUUAGGUGAGGUCACAUUGUUUGUCUCGGCUUUACAGUGUGAGCUAAAGGAAGAAAAUAAAGUAAUGUCAGAAUAUUACAAUCAUAUAUCUAGACAUAUCUCUACUCCUAAUGGAGCAGUUGGAAAAUAAAAGCCGGGAGAAGUAUGUCCCCUCCGUCCUCCUCCCGCGACGCGCGUCACGGGAGCAACCCUUGCGCCGCCGCCGCCGGGACCCCCUCCUCCUCCCCUUCUCCCCUCCCAUGCCGCCGCCUACGAGCAAGGUCGAGCGAAGCCCGGUCGGCUCCGGCGGUGUGUGUGUGGGGGGGGUCUUCCCUUCACCGUGUGGCCGCGUGUGGCGCAGGCUGGCGUGGCCGGCGAAUGCGCCAUGCGAGUAGGGGGCAUGACGACGUGGCCUCUGAGUGUGGGGCGGCGACGCCUGGCUAGGUGCUCAUACGAGUGGCUCUACGGCGGGGGGUGGCUGCGAUGUUGCCGGCGGCUGCGUUUGUGCGCGCCCAGAUCUGGCAGCGGCUGCGCCGGCGCGUUGCGCUGGCUCAGCUGUGGCCUGGGUGGCUCGACACGCGCGGGAGCUCGGCGGGCGGCGGCUUGGGUCGCCGCUGCAUCUCGUCAUCCGGCUGUGUGGUCACUAGUGGUGGAUAGCGGCCGCUGGUGAGAUUCAUCUUGUCCAGCCACGGCGCAGGUCUGAGUGCGGCUCCAAUCCAGCCCCUGCUGAGCUUGCACAUGUCGCGACAUAGGGCUGGGACCUUUCCCAGUGAUGGCCACAGUUAAGGGAUGGAUCCGACGCAGGGAGGGCCACGGAACCAUCCUUGCCUCCUGUCAGGUGGCGCACUGGGAGCUCGUCCUUGCACGGCCUGGCAGGGCGGGGCGGUGGCGGCCAAGUGCGGCUGGCCCGGGGGUGGGCCUCGGACCUAGGGACAGUCCAAGGGCAGGGAAGGUGGUGCCUUCCCGCCCGUCUCUUUGCCUCUCAUGGCUGCAAGCUUUGGUAGGGGAUGAUGUCGGGACCAUGGGUGUUGGGGCGGCGGCCCUGGAGGUGGGAGGCGUGGGCUCAUGGGCGGAGCUCACGCCUCGGGUGUGAGCUAGCUGCCGUGACCGUGCGGGGGGUGUGGUGGUCAGGGUGCGACAACCGGAGGGGUAGGUCCGGCGGGCCUGGUUUGUUGUGCCUUGCCUCGGGGGCUGUGAGGACUUCCCGGGGUGAAAACCUGCUUUGGCUCUGCCAAGCUAACGGCGACGUCGCCUAUGGGCGGUGCCUCCUUCUUGAAGGCGUCGUCGCGGCUCCUAUACAUGCUCCGAUUGCUCCGAAGGAAACCUUGAUCUUGGGAUCGGGCGGUGGUGAUACUCCUGUGUCGUGCCCUUCUUGAAGGCACCGCCUUGGAGUGUUCGGCUUGUCGUGCACAGCUCUCUCUCUCUCUUCACGGUGACUCGCUCACGGUUGAGGUCUUCGAAGACUACCAGUGGUGCUAUCCCUGCCUACAUGUAGUUGCUUGGAGUGGAUGGGGGUGAUCUAGCAAUUCAUAUACACCCUUGUAUCUUGCCUUGUGUGUGUGUUGUUGGGUGAGUUGUAUGUGUUGGUUUGUAUGGUGAUCGUUGCUUUAUGUAUAAAGCGGGGCACGAGCCUUUUUCGGUAAUGAAGCAUUUGGUUGUCUCCGUUCCGGGUUUUUUCGUCCCACCUCCCACCUUCGUCUGGUUUUAGGUUGAAUUCUUGUUCUCUAGAUCCACCUUCACCGACAGCACGCGUUGGUCUGUGACCUCCCACCAGCAGCGCCUUGAGGUCACCCACAAAAGCGACCAAGCAAUUCCACGUUGUCACCCUCUACUACUUCGCCAACUACAUCGAGGAGGUCGUGGGUGAGAGCUACUGUCCUCCUUGGAGAACAUGCUCGUGCCCCAUGCGUACAAAGAAGAGCUAAGACACUCGCAUGGGUGCUCAAGGAAAUACACCAGAUUGAGCGAGAGUGUUACACAAUUUAUCAACAAGAGCAAAGACUCUAAUCUGAUGAUGUAGACAGCUUUAAUGUGACAGAGGAUCAUGGUGGUCGAUGGAUUGUGCACCCGGUAGUGGACUAAGAAAGGAACAUUAUUUAUGGAACACAAUGAUAUUCAGAGCAGCCCUGCACUAUGUGAGAUUUAGAAGUUGGUACUGCCGGCGGAUGCAUCCAUCUGCUAAUCUCCUGGCACCGCGUAGACGGAGCCAAACGAGUUGGGGCCUCCAGCCGGCUGGUAGUGGACAACAACACCGGGUUUGUUAAUUACUCAACAAGUCACAGAUUGAUCUCUUUUUUGAUUGGUUUGGUGUGGAUUAUUAGGCCUGCCGCGCAAUCAUAGAUUUAUCUUUUGCUUUAUGUGGGUGGACAGAAACACCCUUUCUAAAGUUUUGUAGGUAUUGUAAUGAAGCACAGUAACACACUCCAGCAUUCAUUCUUUGCUUGAUAUUAGCAAACAAUGUAAAAUAACCAAGCUCACAACAUUCUAAAGCGGUCUAUUAGCUACUUCAGCAGACAACAGACAGAAAGAAGUAAGCAGUAUUUGAUUUGCUCAUACCCGUGGAGGCAUCGAAUUCUGCCCAAAGUUUGUCGCAGCACUAGUGGUCAGCGGCGAGGAUGAGCACCCACACCCGCUCCUUGUUGCCGGCCUCUGCAUCCUCCUCCCACGAAGCGGGUCUAUGCGGGGAGUUGAUCUAGAAUAUGCUAUUGUUAGAUAUAACAAAUAUGUGACAAGAAAUAAACAAGAACUAUGUAGUACAAUAUAUGUGUCACACAGUAUACUUUGAAAAUGUGUAAUUUGAGAUUCUGAUAUAGAUGUGGGCCUGUAACACACCUUGAACAUGCACUAAAAAUUGUUGUUUACAGUCUGAUUUCUAAACCUGAUGAAAA
Triticum aestivum (bread wheat) is the source of this 5093-nucleotide long non-coding RNA. RefSeq lists it as uncharacterized. The transcript is spliced from 6 exons. The record is from RefSeq and is a predicted model, not a curated record. NCBI's taxonomy places the organism in Eukaryota, Viridiplantae, Streptophyta, Magnoliopsida, Poales, Poaceae.